UCUCCAAGUUGGCCUGGGAGAGGCUUGGCGUCCCUGGGAAUGAGCUGGAGGAAGUUGAGGGGGGCAGGAUCACCUGGGAAUCUUUGCUCUCACAAGUACUACCGCGAUCCUAUCUGGAUUAAGCGGUUAACUAUGAUGAUGAUGAUGAUGAUAAUUAAACCAAAAGAAUUUUCACUGAUAUAUUCCUUUUUUUCCUUUUUCACUUUCAUUGUCCUUUAUCCACUGUUGCGGUCGUUUUACUGUUGUAAUUAUCUUUUAUCUCCUGCCAUUGUCUUUUUCUAACACAUUGUUGUUCAGCUGCUGUUGUUGUCUUUUUUAGAGUCAUUGUCCUUUUUUCGCCAUCGCUGUUCUAUUUGCAUCUUCAUUGUCCCUUUUCUAUUGCUCUUGUCCUUCUUCCAUGGCUAUUGUCCAUCUUCCACUGCCCUUAUUCAUUUUAUAUUGUUGUUGUCCUUCGUCAGUUGUCACUGUUCUACUUCCAGUAGUCUGUGGUCACAUGGAAAGGUGUUUUUUGUUGCUGUUGUCUUUGUUGGUGUUUUUAUGCACUCUCCUCAUCAGCCCUUCAUAACCUGAAAUAUAAACCAAAAGACCAUGCAUUAGACUCUCAAGCUUAGAAAUCUGGCAAUUUUUAAUCUUAAUCAUUAUUUCCAGUUUACUUACAGCAUGUAUGCUUCCUCAAUUGUCAUAUUUUAGGUUUACGGCUUCUUCUUCUAACCUCCCUGGAUAACCUAUUCCUAGUUCUGGAUGGUGAGCUGAAACCACUUAUGCCGCAUGAACUGCUGCAAACUAGGCCUUGAGGAAGGGAUCUGCUCCAAGCUCCAGCCAAUCAGAUUACAGCAUUCUGUGCAGGUUGACGGAAUUGGAUGGCAGAGAGAUGCUUAACCACGAACUUUCAGAUUGUAAAGACAGGCCAUCCUUGAAGUUCCAAAUCCCUUUGUCCACGGAGGGAAGAAAUCCACAAACCAUCCUGAACAAUAGGACACCAAGGGACCACACUGUUGCAGUGCUGGUUGUGCUCAUCCACUGUGGACAAACUCAAGAAAAGCCCAAACUGAGGGUGGAGCCUCAGAGCCCAGACACAGUUACUCUGAGCUGUGAGCUGCCACAGUCUACUGGAUGGACGAUUAUAUGGCAGAAAAACUCUGUUGUUUUACAACAUGAUCUGACCACGAUCACUGAAACACUGCCUAAAGAAG
This is a long non-coding RNA of Pygocentrus nattereri (red-bellied piranha), 1193 nucleotides long. RefSeq lists it as uncharacterized. The transcript has 4 exons. NCBI's taxonomy places the organism in Eukaryota, Metazoa, Chordata, Actinopteri, Characiformes, Serrasalmidae. The record is from RefSeq and is a predicted model, not a curated record.